Molecule: ribosomal RNA, 508 nt
Filed under: uncultured bacterium
Lineage: Bacteria
Description: partial 16S ribosomal RNA
Rfam family: Bacterial small subunit ribosomal RNA
Source: RNAcentral
CGAACGCUGGCGGCGUGCUUACCACAUGCACGUCGAACGCCGAGCGAUGGAAGCUUGCUUCUUUCAACCUUAGUGGCGAACGGGUGUGUAACGCGUAAUCAACCUGCCCUUCAGAGGGGGACAACAGUUGGAAACGACUGCUAAUACCGCAUACGCUCUAAUCUCGGCAUCGAGGAUAGAUGAAAGGUGGCCUCUACAUGUAAGCCAUCACUGAAGGACGGGAUUGCGUCUGAUUGGCUAGUUGGAGGGGUAACGGACCACCAAGGCGAUGAUCAGUAGUCGGUCUGAAGAGAGGAACAGCCAACUUGGAACCGAGACGCCGCCCAGACCCCUACGGCAGGCAACAGUGAGGAUUCGUCCGAAAUGGACGAAGAACUGGCUGAGCAAGGCCGCGUGGGUGAUGACGGCCUUCGGGUUGUAAAGCACGGUUAGUCGGGACGAAAGGCCUUCUUGCGAAUAAUGAGAAGGAUUGACGGUACCGGAAAAGAAAGCCACGGCUAACUACGUG